RNAcentral lists this ribosomal RNA (444 nucleotides) under uncultured bacterium. RNAcentral describes it as "bacterial SSU rRNA". It matches the Rfam family "Bacterial small subunit ribosomal RNA", at positions 29 to 507 of the family's 1533-position model. The record is from RNAcentral.
AACGAGCGCUGGCGGCAGGCUUAACACAUGCAAGUCGAAGGUGAAGCGGGGCUUCGGCCCCGUGGAAACUGGCGCACGGGUGAGUAACGCGUGGGAAUCUACCCCGGGGUGGGGAAUAACCGCUGGAAACGGCGGCUAAUACCGCAUACGCCUUGAGAGGGAAAGCUUUUGCGCCCUGGGAUGAGCCCGCGUCGGAUUAGCUUGUUGGUGGGUAACGGCUCACCAAGGCGACGAUCCGUAGCUGGUCUGAGAGGAUGAUCAGCCACACUGGGACUGAGACACGGCCCAGACUCCUACGGGAGGCAGCAGUGGGGAAUAUUGGACAAUGGGGGAAACCCUGAUCCAGCCAUGCCGCGUGCGUGAAGAAGGCCUUAGGGUUGUAAAGCGCUUUCGGCGGGGAAGAUGAUGACGGUACCCGCAGAAGAAGCUCCGGCUAACUCCAUG